Molecule: long non-coding RNA, 6734 nt
Organism: Neofelis nebulosa (Clouded leopard)
Lineage: Eukaryota; Metazoa; Chordata; Mammalia; Carnivora; Felidae
Exons: 2
Source: RefSeq, a predicted model, not a curated record
AGACGCCCCUGUGUUUUCCUUUUUAAACAUGCCCGGAAGUGGUUAGAUCGCAGGAAUCUCUGUCUACAUAAAUACAAUAGCUUUUGCAUCUUUAUUUUAAAUAAGAAUUCCAAGUGAUAAAAGAGCUUUUUAAUUAUCAGAGCAGGAGGAGAGGUAUCCUGAACUAAUUUUCUAGUUUGAUUGCUACACACAGAACGGACUGCGGGAUACAUUAAUCCAGAAGACACAAUAGCUGCCCACUUGAAGCUUUAUAUGGUACAAUGUCAUUAGGGUAUCUCAGGUAGGCUUUUCUUUGAUAGUAAUGUCCUUUGUCUCCUUCCCUUCCUCCCUAGUAUACUGGAGCUGACCUGAGGACAAAAUCCAGAGAAUUGCCAUGUGAUAAGGACAGUUGUAGCACUUGAUUUAUAACAAUAGUCUGCUCUCGGAUGAGCCACGUGGUUAGUAUACGGAUAAUCCUAGAUGAGAUCAAUUAAACAUUUUACAGAUGGACUAACCAUUUGGUCCUGUGGACUUCCUGCUCCUGUUAUCUAUCCUAUUUCCCUGGAUCUUGUCUAUCAAAUAUCAAAUCUCUAGAUCCUAGUAUCUAUCAACUAUCAAAAGGACAGUUUUGAGUUCUGUUCCUUUCAACCAGCUCACCAUCUGGGGGCCACUGGGGCACAGUGGCAGGAAUAAAGGUCAAGCUCAUUUCUUCAGCAUUCUCCCAGAUCCCGUUGGCGUAAAGUCUCUUCCUGUCUACUUUGUCUGCAAGACUCGUUGCCAAGAGUUCUCACGGGCAGAUCUUCGGGCAGUUGAAUCAAGAGGAAGGCUCCACUUCCUUCUCUUCUCUCUCUUCUUCCUGCAGAGACCCAAGGUGGCUUUGAAACACUCCUAUCUCCUUUUCCGUCUGAUUGCCUUAUUUGUUCAGAUGCUUCCAUCCUGAGCAUUUUCUUGAUUGCUCCCCCUGAUCUCUUUGCAGAGUGUCUUGCACGCAGCUCAUGGCCCAUCCAUCAAAGUGCCGUGCACAUCCGCUUUCUCAGACAGGGGUAAUACUCCUAAAGGCUGUGGAGGAGAGCAGUGGGCCCAUUUUAGCGCAACGCCCAAGACUAAAAGAGGUGUGUGUGCCCAUGGGUCCCUGACCCCUUUCGGUUCACCACCUUGGCAAAAAACAGCAGCAGCAGGAGGAGGAGGAGGAGGAGGAGAGAAAGGGAGUUCAGUGCGCAUCAUUCAGGCGACGCUUUCAGCCUCCCGUGAGCUCUCUCUCAACCCUUCAGAGUUUUGCUGGGGUUAUUAGGUGUGGCUGGCUCUCCACAGUUCUCUGCACUGUGUUUAUUAUGCGUCGUGAAGGUGUUAUCACUAGGUCAGUGCCUCUCACGUCUCCUGUCUGGUCACUAGGUCGGAUGCAGCGGUCUCCACAGACCAUCACCACGAGGCCAGCUGCACCGAAUUCUGGUGCUGAGGGAAAGAAGUUCAGCCGCACACCUUGAGCGAGGAGCUGGGGUGGAGAUGAGUGACCCCCCACUUGUGAAGUUUCUCCUGCUCUGUGCACACACGCACAGCAUUUGUGCACCUGCAGACACGCGUGGUGGCCACCGCACCACCAAUGUGCCCCUCGGGCACCACGUGACUUGCGGUCACCCCGAGGGUGGCCUUGCUUAUGGGUGCCUUUAUGCCUUUUUUUGGUGAAUGCGAUUAUCUCAUUUAAUAUCUAUUUUUUGAAGUUGUUUUAAUCGCAGCAUAAUUGACACGCAGUGUUACGUUAGUGACUCAGUGACUCCGUACGUUACGACGUUACGCUGCGGUCGCCACGAGUGUAGCUGCCCUUUAUACCUUGCGUGUGCUGGUUCCUCCGCAUGGGAUUCUUUCUUUCUGCAGUAGAUCUGGCAAACCCCUGUUGCUUCAUGUUGUGUCGGCUCUAGGGUCCCCUUCCUCCGGGAAGCCUUCCCUGUCCACCACCUGCCGUGCACACACAGGGUCUCACUGCCAGUGCCAUCUGCAUGUGGCAUUGCUGUCCUUCCUCAUUGUCCUGCUCCUGUGCCCAUCUCCCCACUAUAAGCAAGUCUUUUCGUUGCAUAAAGCAAACAUGCAUAUAAAUGUAUCUGGCACAUAAAAGCAAUUAGUAGAUAUUUGUUAAAUGAAUGAAUGAAUGAAUGAAUGAUUUGGGAGGGGGAAGAGUUGUAGUUUGCAAAAUACCUGACCACUCUAUGGAUACCAAGAGCUAAUUGUUUUUGUGGAUUAAAUUUCUCAUGUUUGUCUCUUGAUAUAAUUAGCACUGUCUUCCUAUCAAGACCGUUACCAAAAUCUACUUUGACUUGGUGCCACUCAACCUAUGUCAUUUCCCUCCCGGUAGCACCUCUCAGCCUUACUCUCUGCUUCUGCCAAGAGAAAUCUCCAUUCUCCCAAGGAAGGGAUUUAACCAUGUCUGUGGGUCUCUUGGUGGUGGAGGCUGGGUAUGGGGGAUCUGGCUCAAGUGCUGGGGAGUUCGGCAGGGUUAGUCCUCUGGAUUGCUACCCAGAAGAAAAUUUGAGCUGGGAGCGAUGGUCAGCGUGGCUGCUAGUUCCCCAGCUUCAUGUGUCGAACUUCUCCAGCAUUACGUCUGUCAUGGUGACCGAGGAAGUACAGCAUUUUCCCCCCUUAGCUAAAUGCUAAAAGGCAAAAAGACUUUACUUCCUCACCCAGAAAAACAUUUAGCUCCAGUAGCAAAGAAAAAAGUCUAUAGCCAUUAAAACAAAAAGGGAUUGGCAUUGAGUUCCAGCACGCUUUUCCCAAGCUGUUUAAAACACUUUUGUAAGCAAAGGUCCUCGUGCAGAGAGGAGAGAGGUAGAGUGUGUUCUGAGCUAUAUUUUAAUGCGUUCUUUAAAAUGUGGCCAUGGUGCAGUAUAUUCGCAUGGCUGUCUUUGGGCUCUGUUUCUAAAACAAUGAGAGUCGUGUUGAAAUUUGCAGCUGGUGAGCUGGCCCCAAGCCUGGUCAGUUCGGCCUCCAGCGCACCCUGGAACAGCCAGCAAGGCUGCUGGGGUCACACAUGUGAGGUGCCUGCAGGGUGGGGAGAGAGACCUGGGGUCCUCUCCUGUUCCUGCAGCUGGCCUGUCGAAUAGAGUUGACAUGGAAUUUUGAGGUCUGUAGCCAUUCGCUGAAACCCUCCUGGAGAAUAAAAGCAGGCAUCAUGGAGAAGGGCCGCGUCUGGCAUCCAGGGACCCAGAAAGAGCUCCAGUAAAGCAAGAUGGUUGCUUUUUUCCCCCUUUUUCUUUUGAGUAAGUGGAUCUUUUUCUCCCAGGAAGCCUUCAAACCUCCAGGUCUCUCUUGAGCUAACGCAGGCGAUCAGUGUGGAUCCCACCACCACGCGGUGCCUUGCUUUGGCUCGACAUCGCUGACACCAAGAGGGUUUUCCUUUUGACACCGAGCAACCUCCCCAGGGAAGAAGAGCAGACAGGCUCUGCUUGCCUGACCCAGGAAGGGGGACUGAGGUGUGUGCUGGGGGUCCAUGCACCAGCCUUACACCUGUACUGAGCUGCAGGUAGGCACAGAGGGGGGUAUGUGUGCGAAUCUUUAGAUACAUACAGGCGUAUACAGUUGGUCCUCAUUUUUUUGUGUGUGUGUGUGGAUUCCAUACUUGCCGAUUUGCCUACUUGCUGAAAUGUAUCUGUAAGCUCCAAACCCGUAUUCACAGCCCUUUUGUGGUCGUGUGCAGACACAUACAGAGUGGUGAAAAAUUUGAGUUGCCCCACGUGAGUGUUCCCAGCUGAGGUCAAAUAAGGCCACUUUCUGCCUUCUUGUUUCAGCUCUCCUACCACAAACAAUCGCCCUUUUUGUGGUCUAUUUAAUGCCGCACUUUUGUGCUUUUUGUUGGUGAUUUCGUUGUUUAAAAUGGCUCUCGAGUGUAGCGCUAAAGUGCUGUUCUGUGUUCCUAAGUGCAGGAAGGCUGUGAUGUGCCUUUUGGAGGAAAUAUACGAGUCAGAUGAGCUGCUUUCAAGUUGUAGAGCUGUUGACUUGCAAGUUCAAUGUUAAUGAAUCAACAGCAUAUAUGAAGUCAGGUGUCUUUAAGCAGAAAACCCAUACAGCAAGGUUAUGUAUUGAUGUGUUGAUGAGCCUGUUGUGUCUAGAGGCUCACAGGAACUUGACUCUGGGCUCUCCAGGGAACAGUCGGUCAGCAUUCACUGAUUCGGUGUUUGGCCCAACUUUAUAGAACAUAAGUACUGCAGUUAAUGCAGAUCGACUCUAAAGUGCUUUGAGAGUUUUGCAUAUGGCGUCACAUUUGGCUGAAGUUGACCCAGAUGGUGCCCUCACGCAGGUGUCUGUGCUGGGGUGGGGGAUGGGAACGAGAGGGGAGGGGCCGCUGGGAAGCAGGGCACCAGGAGAAUGCAGCUGGCUCAUCAUCUCGAGGUACAUGACUUACUAAAGGGGAGGUAGUGCCCAAGGUCCUGUGUCCUCUGGGUGAGAAGAGACUUCCGGAAAACGCCCCGACGUGGCCUCCAGUUUGCUUCCUGGUGCUACACGGAUCGUGUGAAUCUCGCUGUGAGAUGAACUGCACCUGCAUCUAUCGGACACCUAGGAAGGGACAGGGGGCGGGAUGCUGGUGCAGGGAACUGAGAGGGAAAGAUGGAAGGGUGGGGGUUUCACUCUUUGUACCUUCUCACCCCCUAGAAGAGAAAUGGCCGUGGGUAUCCAGGCAAUGAACGGAUUCCCAUGUGCCGACUGCUGCCAGGCAUGGCACAUGUGGAUCUCAUUUGAACUUGAUGGCAACCUUCAGAGCUCUCAUCCUCUCCAUUCUGCGAUCAAGGAAGACACAGAGAGGUUGCCUGCAUUGUCAGAAGACACACAGCGAGUCAGGGAUAGAAUUUAGAUUCAAGCCUAGGUUAACUGAGAUGCAACUCAUGGGAUUUGGUGGCUGAUUGGAAAAUCAGAUGGAACAGCAGCAAAGAUGGGGGACGAAGCUGGGCUUUUGUCUGGAUGUCUAAAAUAAUGGUUGCUUUGAGGGAAGUGCAGAAGUUUGAGCGAGUGAGUGCAGGGAACAAGGGUAAAAGCUGAGGCCGUGGUGCUCAGCCUGGGACGGAUUUGCCCCUUAGCGGACAUUUGGCAAUGUCUGGAUUCCUUUUUGGUUGUUGGUUGUGUCAGUGGGGUUAACGGCAUCUAACGGACAGAGGCCAGGGAGGCUGCUAAAACCUCUCACCGGGCAGAGAACCGCCCUCACAACAAAGAAUUAUCUGAGCCAAGAUAUCAGUAAGGCCAAGGCCGAGAACACCUGAAUUAACAUGAAAGCAGGUCGUGGCAGGAUAUCGUGGGUCAGGCCGAAGGCAGAACCCACCUUUGGGACAGCAGAGGAUGAGGGGGUCUACUUUGGGUUUCCAGUUACAUUUCCUCUGCUGAGAAAUGACUGCAAUCUAGAAACUUCAGUAGAAGUAUUUCCUUCUGACCAGUUAUCAUUCCUGGCUCAGUUCACUCUUUGUUGUUGUUGUGGUACCUUCUCUGUGUUAAAUAAGACAUACACUGUCUGUGAGCCCGGUCCCCACAUGGCAGCAGGCACAGAUAGGUGACAAGGUCAGAGAGGAAGCAUCCCUGGACCUGGGAGGCCAGGCUGGGGGCCCAGUGCCAUCUGUAAAACGACUAUAGGUAUGGGGCACCUCUUGGAGCUCAGGGACCGUGUGAGGCCUCUGCUGGGGGUCUGAGAUAAGGGGGAAGGACAGGGACAGCAAGUCCCAAAAAACCCAGGCUACUCCUGAGAGUUCAGGCUGACCUAACGGGUCACUGUUGGUUUUUACUUCCCUCACUCUUCUGAGCAUUUAGUUUGUCCUCAGGGACCUUGCAGUGUUUGCAGGGCAGACCCAUGAAUAAAACUGAGCUGUGCAAAUUCCUGCAGGGGCGGUGUUUACCAAGUGUGGUGGGGGCACAGAGGAAGGGACAGGUGUGUUCUCUUGCAGAAGCCAAAGGACGGCAAAAGUCGCUUUGAGGACCGGAAGGUAGAAGGAGUCCAGGCAGAGGGAGGAAAGUGCCGGAAGGCGGGAGCGCGCUGUGGGUGCUCAGCUUUGGUCAAGGGCGAGGGGAAGGCGGCAGGGAGGACACGAGGUGGCAGAAAAUUGGGUGCUGCCCACAGAGUGAUCUCUGAGGCCUCAGGGGAGGGUGUCCCCAAGAGGUGAAGCGUCCCCACUAGAAGGCAGAGCUGUUUCCAGUCCCCUGUGGCAGGGAAGCUAUGGCCCCUCUCCCGGAGGUGGUGAUAGGACUAGUGCCCAUUCUGCGUCCAUUUGGAGAAGCUAAUUCCUUCCUCAAAAAGCAAACCAAGCUGGGCACUAAACACCCUUUCCAGAGGGUGGGCGCUGGGGAGCCUGGGCUCCGUUCCCAGCAUCUCUGUGUCCUCACCGUGCAGUUAGGGGAAAUCCGCUUCAUUUCUCUGGGCCACCGUUUCUGGUCUGUAAAAUGAAUAGAGGGGCGCCUGGCUGGCUCAGGACGUGAUCUCGUGGUUCGUGAGUUCGAGCCCCAUGUCGGGCUCUGUGCUGACAGCUCGGAGCCUGGAGCCUGCUUCGGUUUCUGUGCGUGUCUCUCUCUCUCUCUCUUUAAAAAAUAAAUCUUCAAAAUAGAAUACCUGCACCUACACCGUUGGAUUUUUCUGAGGUGAAAUGAUUUCAGGUGAUUGGCUGGGGUGAGUCCCUCCUUCCCAUCUGAGAGCAGCAGUGGAAGAAGGUCUGAGACAGUGACGAGUUUGAGGACUGAGCCUGAGAGCCGCCAGCCCCCAGAUGCUCCAGUUGGCUGUCACCUGUGCAUUUUUU